UUAUGACAGAAGCGGACAACACUGGGUGUCACCUGAUUGGAUAUUUUUCCAAGGAAAAGAAUUCGUUCCUCAACUACAAUGUGUCCUGUAUCCUUACCAUGCCUCAGUACAUGAGACAGGGCUAUGGCAAGAUGCUCAUUGAUUUCAGUUAUUUGCUUUCCAAAGUCGAAGAAAAAGUUGGCUCACCAGAACGCCCACUCUCAGAUCUGGGGCUCAUAAGCUAUCGCAGUUACUGGAAAGAAGUCCUUCUCCGUUACCUGCAUAAUUUUCAAGGCAAAGAGAUUUCUAUCAAAGAAAUCAGCCAGGAGACAGCUGUGAAUCCCGUGGACAUCGUCAGCACUCUGCAAGCCCUUCAGAUGCUCAAGUACUGGAAGGGAAAGCACCUAGUUUUAAAGCGACAGGACCUGAUUGAUGAGUGGAUCGCCAAAGAGGCCAAAAGGUCCACCUCCAAUAAAACCAUGGAUCCAAGCUGCUUAAAAUGGACCCCUCCCAAGGGCACUUAGAGUGACCUGUCAUUCCGAGCCAGCGAACCCCAGCAGUAGGAAUCCGUACCCUAGGGAUCUGUCUGUCAUUUCUGUUGCUCUUGUGAUUGGCAAGUACAGUAUCCUUUGGGAAGGCCAUCCCCCUCAGGACUGUCCUGGCUCCGACCUUCGUGUACACUGCAGACGCUGGUUCUGAGGAACUGUUGUUUCGGCCUCAGUGAGGUUGCUUGGAUGCGAUCUGUAUUAGACUUGAGUGCAGAUCUCAGCACUGACCCAAGGAGUUCUGUUAUGGUACUGUACCUGUCCAGUCACUGGUUCUCUCCUCAUGUUUUCUCGCCCCAUGAGGUCGUGUCGUGUCUUCUAAACUUGGUACUAGUGCUUCUUGCCGCCCGGUCACCA
This is an RNA transcript of Carlito syrichta (Philippine tarsier), 881 nucleotides long. It is a transcript of the gene named histone acetyltransferase KAT7 pseudogene, with no coding region annotated. The transcript has a single exon. Lineage: Eukaryota; Metazoa; Chordata; Mammalia; Primates; Tarsiidae. The record is from RefSeq and is a predicted model, not a curated record.